Molecule: long non-coding RNA, 2377 nt
Organism: Monodelphis domestica (gray short-tailed opossum)
Lineage: Eukaryota; Metazoa; Chordata; Mammalia; Didelphimorphia; Didelphidae
Source: RefSeq, a predicted model, not a curated record
CGGCGAGAAGCUCGGGAGCUCUUGGUAACCGGAGCCGGAGCUGAGACCGCAGCCUGCGCCCUCCCCGGGGGCACCGAGGGGGCGCUCAGCCGGGCCCUCGGAGCGCUGCUUUCCGAAGGGCUCACGGCCGCUCGGCAGUCUUGUUAUGGAAGAAGGUGGCGGUGAGGGCACUCCGACCUCUCAGCUAUACCAUGAGAAUUCGACCUCUGAGGAGGGCUCUCAGAUCUUUGAGAUGAACCCAAAGUUAUCAACCUCUGACGGUGCGCUGGGGCCCGGGGAGGAACACGGGGUCCGUGGAGGAUGGGGUGGGCUCCGAGGGAUUUGGACUUGGCCUGACAGACACCUGGGAAAUGCUGGGAGGGCUCUCUGGGGCCGAACUCUGGAAUCUGGUGUGCCCCGGAGGUGCUUUUAGAAGAAUUGCAGCACCGGAAGUUCCAGAGCAGAGAGGAAGGAUGUUGACUCUUCUGGUGCGGUGGAGGAGGAUUUGAGAGCCAGAAAAGAGUCUGGCAACAGCGGCCAUUGGCCAGAGCAGGGCUCCUCACUGACCGGGGUGUGCUGGAGAGGAGCCGGCCUCAGUGCUGGGGACAGCCAAGCAGCCCUGUCAGGAGCCUCCAAGGGAGGGGCAUGGAAAUAAGAGUCAAACACGAGUUUCCUGUGCAGUGCAGCCUUUGGCAGCCCAGGGUUUUGGUUUCCAUUUCGGGUACACAGACAAGGGAAGCUGGUAGUUAAACUGGGCUUUUACAAAGCUAUUCCGCUCUCUGUGGGAGAUGUCUUUUCCGCUCUGGCUCCCAAGGACCGCAAACAGUCAGCCCUUCAGAGCUGAAGCCUGACUAGAUGAAAGUCGCUUCCCCUCUCCUACUUCUCCCCCAUGAAGCUUUCCACAGUGAAGCGGGAGGUGCAUUGGCAGUGACCUGCUGCCAGUUGGUGUUCACAGAUUGCAUUUGCUCUUCAAAAGUGCUUAUUCAUAGUGUGAAAUUCCAGGAAAAUCCCCAUUUGGUGGGCGGUAGUGGACUGUGGAGUCAGACUUACCUGAGUGAAGAGAAAAUCCUUUCUGACUAGACUGUUGACUCCAGCACUUGGUAUUCAGACAGAAGAACCUGUCGUCUCAAGGUCCAGGAGAAAGAAAUCCUUCCUUCCUCUUCUGGGGUUUCUAGGAAGAAGAAGAGACUCAAACCUGCAAUCAGGAUGCCUGGAUUCUUUUCCUUACACUAACAGCCCUGUGACCUGAAGAAUUCAUUGGUUCCUCCUGACCCUCUGUGUUGUCCUCUUUUAAAUCAGUCCCUUCCCUAUCUCCUCCACAGGUCUAUUGAGAAGAUAAAAUCGGAGAGGGGAGAGAGGGCAAGGCACUGCCCAGGCUAAGAUGCUGGGAAAUAGAAGGGGAUGUUGUUUUUGUAAUUUAAAUUAGGGAUCCAGGUGACAUCUGCUGUAGACUCUCUGCUCACUGGACUGCUGUGGGUAGCCAAUGAGAGAAUAAAUCCAGAAGGGGCUCUAUAAAGGUCUAAAGGACCUUUAUAGAGAAGAGAUGGGGCAAUUCGAUAGAGUUCUGACUUGUUAGAACUUUCUCGUUCUGAUCAUUCUAGUAGAGUGAGACAGAAUCUCUUUGACUUUGGCCAUGGGCUCAGGAGAAUGGAUGAGCAACUUCAGAGGGCAGCAGAACUUUGCUGAAGCUGAGUCAGUCGGAGAGCCAUACCUUAAGCAAAGUGUGUUUUUUACCUUGUUUCCUAGUCUAUGUUGAACCCUUUUAUAAUGAUAAUUAAGAGAAUUUCUUUCCCUCUUCCUUUCUUAGAGUGGGAGGAAAGGAAAGAGAAGUUAGUCUCCUUCCUUGGAUACUUCCUACCUAUUACUGUGAGCUGGGGCAAGUCUGAAAGAAGAGCAUACAGAUUGAGACAGUCAUUGCAAAUGGUCAAUGAUGGGGCCUAGAAUUUCAUAGGAAAAGGAAGUCAUAAGUCCAGCAUUUAUCCAGUUACUACUAUCUACCAAGCACUUUGCUAAGCACGGUAGACUCUCUGUACACUUGAGUCACCUUGGUGCCCCUGGAAUAGAUUCUUCAUCCUGAUGUAAUUUAAGAGGUAGAAGAGCUCUCAGAGAUCAGUUAGUAAACCCAUCCUCAUUUUAAUGAUGAAGAAAUGGAGAAGCUUUUGUUGACUGACUGAUAUUUAUCUGGCUGUUUAAAAGAAGAAAGAAGAAAAAUAUUUGUCCUCCAAACUCUCUGACUGUCCCUGUGUCACAGUUGUGACAGAACUGUCAUUUUCUCAAUACCCUCCAAACCAAGGCUCCUUGUAUAGAUUAGGGAAACCCCAUCCCUCUUACCUCAUCCUCUAUCCUUGUCCUGUCUUCCUCAAUAAACCUUACUUGAGAAAAGAGUAUCUUCUCUAAA